GAUGAAGAACGUAAGCGAAAUGCGAUACGUAAUGUGAAUUGCAGAAUUCAGUGAAUCAUCGAGUCUUUGAACGCACAUUGCGCCCCCUGGUAUUCCGGGGGGCAUGCCUGUCCGAGCGUCAUUGCUGCCCUCAAGCACGGCUUGUGUGUUGGGCCUCCGUCCUCCUCCCGGGGGACGGGCCCGAAAGGCAGCGGCGGCACCGCGUCCGGUCCUCGAGCGUAUGGGGCUUCGUCACCCGCUCUUGUAGGCCCGGCCGGCGCUUGCCGACACAUCAAUCUUUUUUCCAGGUUGACCUCGGAUCAGGUAGGGAUACCCGCUGAACUUAAGCAUAUCAAUAAGCGGAGG
RNAcentral lists this unclassified non-coding RNA (345 nucleotides) under soil metagenome. RNAcentral's name for it is "partial contains 5.8S ribosomal RNA, internal transcribed spacer 2, and large subunit ribosomal RNA". The stretch from base 1 to 121 matches the Rfam family "5.8S ribosomal RNA", at positions 35 to 154 of the family's 154-position model. The record is from RNAcentral.